RNAcentral lists this ribosomal RNA (512 nucleotides) under bacterium A3T_VP8_E1. RNAcentral's name for it is "bacterial SSU rRNA". It matches the Rfam family "Bacterial small subunit ribosomal RNA", at positions 337 to 841 of the family's 1533-position model. The record is from RNAcentral.
UCCUACGGGAGGCAGCAGUAGGGAAUCUUCCGCAAUGGACGAAAGUCUGACGGAGCAACGCCGCGUGAACGAUGAAGGCCUUCGGGUCGUAAAGUUCUGUUGUUAGGGAAGAACAAGUACCAGAGUAACUGCUGGUACCUUGACGGUACCUAACCAGAAAGCCACGGCUAACUACGUGCCAGCAGCCGCGGUAAUACGUAGGUGGCAAGCGUUGUCCGGAAUUAUUGGGCGUAAAGCGCGCGCAGGUGGUUUCUUAAGUCUGAUGUGAAAGCCCACGGCUCAACCGUGGAGGGUCAUUGGAAACUGGGGAACUUGAGUGCAGAAAAGGAAAGUGGAAUUCCAAGUGUAGCGGUGAAAUGCGUAAAGAUUUGGAGGAACACCAGUGGCGAAGGCGACUUUCUGGUCUGUAACUGACACUGAGGCCCGAAAGCGUGGGGAGCGAACAGGAUUUAAAACCCUGGUAAUCCCCGCCGUAAACGAUGAGGGCUAAAUGUUAAAGGGUUUUCCCCCCU